UUUUUGGAGAGUUUGAUCCUGGCUCAGGACGAACGCUGGCGGCGUGCCUAAUACAUGCAAGUCGAGCGAACUG
RNAcentral lists this ribosomal RNA (73 nucleotides) under Heyndrickxia ginsengihumi. RNAcentral describes it as "partial 16S ribosomal RNA". It matches the Rfam family "Bacterial small subunit ribosomal RNA", at positions 1 to 73 of the family's 1533-position model. Lineage: Bacteria; Bacillati; Bacillota; Bacilli; Caryophanales; Bacillaceae. The record is from RNAcentral.